UGGUAAUACCGGAUGCUCCGCUCCAUCGCAUGGUGGGGUGGGAAAUGCUUUUGCGGCAUGGGAUGGGGUCGCGUCCUAUCAGCUUGUUGGCGGGGUGAUGGCCCACCAAGGCGUUGACGGGUAGCCGGCCUGAGAGGGUGACCGGCCACAUUGGGACUGAGAUACGGCCCAGACUCCUACGGGAGGCAGCAGUGGGGAAUAUUGCACAAUGGGCGCAAGCCUGAUGCAGCGACGCCGCGUGCGGGAUGGAGGCCUUCGGGUUGUAAACCGCUUUUGUUCAAGGGCAAGGCACGGUUUCGGCCGUGUUGAGUGGAUUGUUCGAAUAAGCACCGGCUAACUACGUGCCAGCAGCCGCGGUAAUACGUAGGGUGCGAGCGUUAUCCGGAUUUAUUGGGCGUAAAGGGCUCGUAGGCGGUUCGUCGCGUCCGGUGUGAAAGUCCAUCGCCUAACGGUGGAUCUGCGCCGGGUACGGGCGGGCUGGAGUGCGGUAGGGGAGACUGGAAUUCCCGGUGUAACGGUGGAAUGUGUAGAUAUCGGAAAGAACACC
Molecule: ribosomal RNA, 547 nt
Filed under: Bifidobacterium animalis subsp. lactis
Lineage: Bacteria; Bacillati; Actinomycetota; Actinomycetes; Bifidobacteriales; Bifidobacteriaceae
Description: bacterial SSU rRNA
Rfam family: Bacterial small subunit ribosomal RNA
Source: RNAcentral